UACGUAGGGGGCAAGCGUUGUCCGGAAUCAUUGGGCGUAAAGGGCGCGUAGGCGGUCACGCACGUCCGUUGUGAAAUCGCUCGGCUCAACUGGGCGGGGUCAGCGGAUACGGCGUGGCUGGAGCAAGCUAGGGGGCAAUGGAAUUCCCGGUGUAGUGGUGGAAUGCGUAGAUAUCGGGAGGAACACCAGUGGCGAAGGCGGUUGCCUGGAGCUUUGCUGACGCUGAUGCGCGAAAGCGUGGGAGCGAUCCGG
This 252-nucleotide ribosomal RNA is filed under the name uncultured bacterium. RNAcentral describes it as "partial 16S ribosomal RNA". It matches the Rfam family "Bacterial small subunit ribosomal RNA", at positions 524 to 776 of the family's 1533-position model. The record is from RNAcentral.